RNAcentral lists this ribosomal RNA (660 nucleotides) under Triticum petropavlovskyi. Its description in RNAcentral is "eukaryotic LSU rRNA". The stretch from base 244 to 399 matches the Rfam family "5.8S ribosomal RNA". Lineage: Eukaryota; Viridiplantae; Streptophyta; Magnoliopsida; Poales; Poaceae. The record is from RNAcentral.
CUGCGGAAGGAUCAUUGUCGUGACCCUGAACAAAACAGACCGUGCAUGCGUCAUCCAAUCCGUCGGCGAUGGCACCGUCCAUCGCCCGGCCAAUGCCUCGACCACCUCCCCUCCUCGGAGCGGGUGGGGGCUCGGGGUAAAAGAACCCACGGCGUCGAAGGCGUCAAGGAAUACUGUGCCUAACCCGGGGGCAUGGCUAGCUUGCUAGCCGUCCCUCGUGUUGCAAAGCUAUUUAAUCCACACGACUCUCGGCAACGGAUAUCUCGGCUCUCGCAUCAAUGAAGAACGUAGCGAAAUGCGAUACCUGGUGUGAAUUGCAGAAUCCCACGAACAAUCGAGUCUUUGAACGCAAGUUGCGCCCGAGGCCACUCGGCCGAGGGCACGCCUGCCUGGGCGUCACGCCAAAACACGCUCCCAACCACCCUCAAUGGGAAUCGGGAUGCGGCAUCUGAUCCCUCAUCUCGCAAGGGGCGGUGGACCGAAGAUCAGGCUGCCGGCGUACUGCGCCGGACACAGCGCAUGGUGGGCGUCCUCGCUUUAUCAAUGCAGUGCAUCCGAAGCGUAGCUGGCAUUAUGGCCUCUAAACGACCGAACAAACGAAGCGCACGUUGCUUCGACCGCGACCCCAGGUCAGGCGGGACUACCCGCUGAGUUUAAGCA